GUGCCAGCAGCCGCGGUAAUACAGAGGUCCCAAGCGUUGUUCGGAUUCACUGGGCGUAAAGGGUGCGUAGGUGGCGGGGUAAGUCUGAUGUGAAAUCUCCGAGCUUAACUCGGAAACUGCAUCGGAUACUGCUUUGCUCGAGGGUUGGAGGGGGGACUGGAAUACUUGGUGUAGCAGUGAAAUGCGUAGAUAUCAAGUGGAACACCAGUGGCGAAGGCGAGUCCCUGGACAACUCCUGACACUGAGGCACGAAAGCUAGGGGAGCAAACAGGAUUAGAAACCCCGGUAGUCC
This 292-nucleotide ribosomal RNA is filed under the name uncultured bacterium. RNAcentral's name for it is "partial 16S ribosomal RNA". It matches the Rfam family "Bacterial small subunit ribosomal RNA", at positions 505 to 796 of the family's 1533-position model. The record is from RNAcentral.